Molecule: small RNA, 168 nt
Filed under: Hucho hucho (huchen)
Lineage: Eukaryota; Metazoa; Chordata; Actinopteri; Salmoniformes; Salmonidae
Description: Metazoan signal recognition particle RNA (ENSHHUG00000046717.1)
Rfam family: Metazoan signal recognition particle RNA
About the family: The signal recognition particle (SRP) is a universally conserved ribonucleoprotein.
Source: RNAcentral
CUAUGCCGAUCGGGUGUCCGCACUAAGUUCGGUAUCGAUAUGGUGCUCCUGGGGGAGCCCGGGACCACCAGGUCGUCUAAGGAGGGGUGCACCGGCCCAGGUCGGAAACGGAGCAGGCCAAAGCCCCCGUGCCGCUCAGUAGUGGGAUCGCGCCUGUGAAUAGACGCU